This is an RNA transcript of Quercus robur (English oak), 1687 nucleotides long. RefSeq lists it as uncharacterized. The record is from RefSeq and is a predicted model, not a curated record. The transcript has 3 exons. Lineage: Eukaryota; Viridiplantae; Streptophyta; Magnoliopsida; Fagales; Fagaceae.
CAGCUCACCCCCAUUCCUUCAUAAAUCACGUCCCACAGCCCACAACGCUACCGUGACAUCAAAUCCGCCACCUUCAAACCACUUCUCAUUUCAUUCCGCAGAGUCCCACUUCCUCCCUCUCCCACAAAAAACCAUGGAAAAAGAACCCCCCCACCACCACCACCAUCACCACGACCACGACUACGACCACCAACACUCACCCCUCAAAUCCCCAUCCUCACCCACGUCCACCACCACAACCACAACCGCCGCCGCAACCUGCUGCAAUUGCGGCGCCCCAACCAGUUACGCACCACCACCCACAUGGUCCGACACCUCCCCACCUCCAAACUACCGCCCAAUUCGCGCUCCGGCGAUCAACCUCCCCCCAAGCAGCCACACCCAACAAGCCAUAAUCCUCGCCCCGGUCCCACAUUCCCAAAAGGUCCCACUCGUCUCCCCACCUUACCAUUUCCAAACCCCAGCCAAAAAAAUCCAAUCCCCCGAAGAUCUCAACCACUUCCAGAACUCCGAUUCCGGCAAAAACUUCCUCGGCUUCGUCGUCGCUCUCUCCGAGUCAAUUCGCUCCCACAAACUCUCCGACCCUUGCCACCAAUCCGAAACCAUCAACUCCAUCGUCUCCAUUCUCGAAACCCUAAUCCAAUGGGUCGACGAAAUCCCUCCGGCUCAACAAACCGCUCGCUACGGCAACCUCUCGUACCGGACCUGGCACAGCCGCCUCACCGAAACCAGCGAUUCGCUGAUGCUCCAGUUCCUCCCGGCCGAUCUCCAAUCCGCCACGAUCGAGAUCGUCCCUUACUUCACCGAUAGCUUCGGGAACUCGAGCCGAAUCGAUUACGGUACCGGCCACGAGACCAACUUCGCGGCGUGGCUGUACUGCUUGGCUCGAUUGGGAGUCAUCAAGGAGGAGGAUUACCAGGCCGUGGUAGCUAGGGUUUUCGUGAAGUACCUGGAAUUGAUGAGGAAACUGCAAUUGGUUUAUUGCUUGGAGCCUGCUGGUUCUCAUGGCGUUUGGGGGCUCGAUGACUAUCAUUUCUUGCCGUUUAUCUUCGGCUCGUCGCAGCUGAUCGAUCACCGGUACAUGAAGCCGAAAUCUAUUCAUAAUGAUGAUAUACUGGAGAAUUUCAAUAAGGAGUAUCUGUACAUUGCUUGCAUUGCAUUUGUGAAGAAGGUGAAGAAGGGUUUGUUCGCGGAGCAUUCGCCUUUGCUGGAUGAUAUUAGCGGUGUGCCUACUUGGAACAAAGUGAAUAGUGGGUUGCUGAAGAUGUAUAAAGUGGAGGUCUUAGAGAAAGUCCCCAUUAUGCAGCAUUUUCUGUUUGGUUGGCUCAUCAAAUGGCAGAAUCUUCUAGGUGUUGGCAUCUAGGAAGAUGGACACGGAUACGGGUACGAAAUGGCCACAUGGGCAAUUUCUAAAAAAUUUUAACAUGACACGGUGGUUACAACACCGGUACAACACGGGGAGUAGAGUGGGCGUUUUGCUGUGGAAACAAGAAAAGUUAAGCUCACCAGGUUUCAUGCAACUAUAAACACAGAAUGUACCUAUGGUAGUAGGGAUGAAUUGUGUUUUCCUCUUCCUUUUUUAAUCUUUUAUGCAUUUUUGUUGCUAUAAAUAUUUCACAGAUAAUGGAAGUUUGGCGACAUUUAUUGAUUAGUAAAUGAGAUAGAUAUCCUUAUCUAUGUAGACAAA